RNAcentral lists this long non-coding RNA (656 nucleotides) under Homo sapiens (human). Its description in RNAcentral is "non-protein coding lnc-ATIC-8:5". Lineage: Eukaryota; Metazoa; Chordata; Mammalia; Primates; Hominidae. The record is from RNAcentral.
UGCCAAAGCUUCAUGUAGAGCCCUUCUCUCUUUUAUCACGAGUAAAAGUUCAGGUUUAAAAUAGAACAACGGAUGACUAAUGCCAUUUCCAGCUGUGACUGAAUUCUCCACUGCCUGAUGCUUUUCAAAUGUAUCUGAAUCAGAAUCGAACACCCACUUUAUGCAUAGCUCCCUAAUCAGGAAGUUAUUCUUCCCAUCAAAGCAACUGGAAAGAAAAAAGAUAAAACAAUGAAGGGAGGAGAAAACACAAAAGUUCAAGAAGAGCAGAAUGUUCCGGCAAGGAGAAAAAGCUGGGAAAAGUCACCAAUGAAUGCCAGGGUUCACCACUAUCUUAGGAAUAUCAUGAAUAAAGCGUUAGAUUGGGUGUGCCCUAACUGAUGGUCACAAGCAUGAUACUAAUUAUCAGGGUGAACAAAGCAGGGGAGUAAGAGCAUCAGUAACUGUGAAACUCUAGGAGUUUGUCUUCAUUCUUUCAGUGAUAGGUACUGAGUGUUUCCCAUGUGUCAUACCCUAUGCCAGGUGCUGGGGAUGCAAUGGUAAAGGAACAGACCUGGCAAUAUUCCUCAUGGAGCUUGUGGUCUAGGACUGAAUGGGUCCCGUCAAUUUCAAAUAACAGCCAUGCUUGUUAUAAAUGAUGAUAGAUUUUCUACUCAAAA